AUUCUGCCCAAACGGGGAAGGAUGAGAAGCUUCGACCAAGGUUCGACUCGAGCGCCAGCGAGAGAGCGUUGCCGCAGGCAACGACCCAAAGGGCGAAGCGCGCAGCGCUGAGUAAUCCUUCCCCCACCACCA
RNAcentral lists this small RNA (132 nucleotides) under Escherichia coli. Its description in RNAcentral is "RtT sRNA". It matches the Rfam family "RtT RNA". Rfam says of the family: This family represents a bacterial cis-regulatory element known as RtT RNA. Lineage: Bacteria; Pseudomonadati; Pseudomonadota; Gammaproteobacteria; Enterobacterales; Enterobacteriaceae. The record is from RNAcentral.